This 467-nucleotide ribosomal RNA is filed under the name uncultured bacterium. Its description in RNAcentral is "partial 16S ribosomal RNA". It matches the Rfam family "Bacterial small subunit ribosomal RNA", at positions 28 to 507 of the family's 1533-position model. The record is from RNAcentral.
GAUGAACGCUGGCGGCGUGCUUAACACAUGCAAGUCGAACGAUGAAGCCCAGCUUGCUGGGUGGAUUAGUGGCGAACGGGUGAGUAACACGUGAGCAACCUGCCCCUGACUCUGGGAUAAGCGCUGGAAACGGCGUCUAAUACUGGAUAUGUCCCGUCACCGCAUGGUGUGCGGGUGGAAAGAUUUUUCGGUUGGGGAUGGGCUCGCGGCCUAUCAGCUUGUUGGUGAGGUAAUGGCUCACCAAGGCGUCGACGGGUAGCCGGCCUGAGAGGGUGACCGGCCACAAUGGGACUGAGACACGGCCCAGACUCCUACGGGAGGCAGCAGUGGGGAAUAUUGCACAAUGGGCGGAAGCCUGAUGCAGCAACGCCGCGUGAGGGAUGACGGCCUUCGGGUUGUAAACCUCUUUUAGCAGGGAAGAAGCGAAAGUGACGGUACCUGCAGAAAAAGCACCGGCUAACUACGUG